RNAcentral lists this unclassified non-coding RNA (375 nucleotides) under Hevea brasiliensis (rubber tree). Lineage: Eukaryota; Viridiplantae; Streptophyta; Magnoliopsida; Malpighiales; Euphorbiaceae. The record is from RNAcentral.
CCUCCAUCUCACAUCAAUAUCAUUAAUGGUUUCCAAACCUUUCUCCUCAUUCUUCUUCUUUAUAACAUUCAAAAGAGAGAUUGGGAGUUUUUCAGAUUCCCGGACUAGCAACUUCUGCAAAGUAGAAUGGAUCCUACCACAAUCCAGGCAACAAAACCACUUCCCUUUUGGCAAUUCCUUUAGGUUUGCCAUUUUAUGACUCCUCAGACAGCCCACGUGAAAUUCCUUCUCACACUGAUCACAAAGUAUAAUUGUGCGUGGACCAAAUCCAGAUCUGCUAAAAUCAUAACCUCUGCAUAGCACACAUCCACUAAGUUCUGCUUCUAUGUUUUUGACAAUACGAAUGCAUCUCUUGGUUAUCUGUUCUAUAGGAUC